This 46-nucleotide non-coding RNA is filed under the name Trichobilharzia regenti. The record is from RNAcentral. Lineage: Eukaryota; Metazoa; Platyhelminthes; Trematoda; Strigeidida; Schistosomatidae.
GUACUGCUGAAGAGUCCCAAACUAGGAUGAAACAGCCGUUUAGUAC